RNAcentral lists this ribosomal RNA (448 nucleotides) under uncultured bacterium. RNAcentral's name for it is "bacterial SSU rRNA". It matches the Rfam family "Bacterial small subunit ribosomal RNA", at positions 328 to 792 of the family's 1533-position model. The record is from RNAcentral.
GGUCCAGACUCCUACGGGAGGCAGCAGUGGGGGAUAUUGCACAAUGGGGGGAACCCUGAUGCAGCGACGCCGCGUGGGUGAAGGAGUAUUUCGGUAUGUAAAUCCCUAUCGGCAGGGAAGAAGCAAGACGGUACCUGUCGAAUAAGCCACGGCUAACUACGUGCCAGCAGCCGCGGUAAUACGUAGGUGGCAAGCGUUGUCCGGAUUUACUGGGUGUAAAGGGCGUGUAGCCGGGUUGACAAGUCAGAUGUGAAAUCCUGCGGCUUAACCGCAGAACUGCAUUUGAAACUGUUGAUCUUGAGUACUGGAGAGGCAGACGGAAUUCCUAGUGUAGCGGUGAAAUGCGUAGAUAUUAGGAGGAACACCAGUGGCGAAGGCGGUCUGCUGGACAGCAACUGACGGUGAGGCGCGAAAGCGUGGGGAGCAAACAGGAUUAGAUACCCGGGUA